Molecule: long non-coding RNA, 306 nt
Filed under: Jatropha curcas
Lineage: Eukaryota; Viridiplantae; Streptophyta; Magnoliopsida; Malpighiales; Euphorbiaceae
Description: long non-coding RNA (JCUR_LNC002237)
Source: RNAcentral
UCCAACAAAAUUUGAGACACCCCAGGAUUCUUAAUUGGUUUUCUGUGAGAUAGUACCCUUGUGUUAUGCACCGACGCCUCUGUUCCUGGCACUAGUAUAGCAGAUUAGUUGCUCUCAUAAUCUAUUCUUAUUGAACAGAAAUGUUGCCUUGUGAUUUUAGUCCACUUGGUAAGGGCAUUCUAUGAUAUUGGUAAUAAUGGAGUACACUUUUGUUUUUGUUGAAAUUAUGUAACCUUGUGCAUUUUUGUUUAUCCUUGUCCAAUGUAAUCGUCAUAUUAUUCUUCAUUUUAGUAGGUUUUAUGGGAA